UUGAGGCGAAGUAGAGUGAUCCCAUGCUGUCGAGAAAAGCCUCUAGCGAGUGCUGUUGCGGCCCGUACCCCAAACCGUCACAGGUGGUCAGGUAGAGAAUACCAAGGCGAUCGAGUGAACUGUGGUUAAGGAACUCGGCAAAAUACCUCCGUAACUUCGGGAGAAGGAGGACCGUCUGCUGUGAAGCUCCUUGCGGGCUAGCGGUGGGCGGUCGCAGAGACCAGGCCCAAGCGACUGUUUACUAAAAACACAGGUCCGUGCGAAGUCGCAAGACGAUGUAUACGGACUGACGCCUGCCCGGUGCUGGAACGUUAAGAGGACCUGUUAGUCCCUUCGGGGGCGAAGCGGAGAAUUUAAGCGCCAGUAAACGGCGGUGGUAACUAUAACCAUCCUAAGGUAGCGAAAUUCCUUGUCGGGUAAGUUCCGACCUGCACGAAUGGCGUAACGACUUGGGCGCUGUCUCGACCACAGACUCGGCGAAAUUGCACUACGAGUAAAGAUGCUCGUUACGCGCGGCAGGACGGAAAGACCCCGGGACCUUUACUAUAGCUUGGUAUUGGUGCUCGGUUCGGCUUGUGUAGGAUAGGUGGGAGACUGUGAAGUGGCCACGCCAGUGGUUGUGGAGUCAUUGUUGAAAUAUCACUCUGGUCGAAUUGGGUGUCUCAACCUCGGGCCAUGAUCUGGUUCAGGGACAGUGCCUGGUGGGUAGUUUAACUGGGGCGGUUGCCUCCCAAAAUGUAACGGAGGCGCCCAAAGGUUCCCUCAGCCUGGUUGGCAAUCAGGUGUUGAGUGUAAGUGCACAAGGGAGCUUGACUGUGAGACCGACAGGUCGAGCAGGGACGAAAGUCGGGACUAGUGAUCCGGCACCACCUGGUGGAAGGGGUGUCGCUCAACGGAUAAAAGGUACCCCGGGGAUAACAGGCUGAUCUUGCCCAAGAGUCCAUAUUGACGGCAUGGUUUGGCACCUCGAUGUCGGCUCGUCGCAUCCUGGGGCUGGAGUAGGUCCCAAGGGUUGGGCUGUUCGCCCAUUAAAGCGGUACGCGAGCUGGGUUUAGAACGUCGUGAGACAGUUCGGUCCCUAUCCGCCGCGCGCGCAGGAGACUUGAGGAAGGCUGUCCCUAGUACGAGAGGACCGGGACGGACGAACCUCUGGUGUGCCAGUUGUCCCGCCAGGGGCAUGGCUGGUUGGCUAUGUUCGGAAGGGAUAACCGCUGAAGGCAUCUAAGCGGGAAGCUCGUUCCAAGAUGAGGUCUCCCACCACCUUGCGUGGUUAAGGCCCCCCACAGACCAUGGGGUUGAUAGGCCAGAGAUGGAAGCCCUGUGAGGGGUGGAGUUGACUGGUACUAAUAGGCCGAGGGCUUGACUG
This 1366-nucleotide ribosomal RNA is filed under the name metagenome. RNAcentral's name for it is "bacterial LSU rRNA". It matches the Rfam family "Bacterial large subunit ribosomal RNA", at positions 1579 to 2925 of the family's 2925-position model. The record is from RNAcentral.